CCGGGCGUAGCAUUCUUGCCACGACGGGUUCGGAAGUGACUGAUCCAAAGAGCCGGCAAGGGAUGAA
This 67-nucleotide small RNA is filed under the name uncultured Mycobacterium sp. Its description in RNAcentral is "Mycobacterium sRNA Ms_IGR-2". It matches the Rfam family "Mycobacterium sRNA Ms_IGR-2", at positions 16 to 80 of the family's 82-position model. Lineage: Bacteria; Bacillati; Actinomycetota; Actinomycetes; Mycobacteriales; Mycobacteriaceae. The record is from RNAcentral.